CCGUUGCCGGCGACCGGCGCACCGGGUGAGUAACACGUAUGCAACCUGCCCGUGGCAGGGGGAUAAGCGGGGGAAACCCCGUCUAAUACCGCGUAACGCGGCCUAGGGACAUCCCAAGGCCGCCAAAGGGAGCAAUCCCGGCCACGGAUGGGCAUGCGGCGCAUUAGCUAGUCGGCGGGGUAACGGCCCACCGAGGCGACGAUGCGUAGGGGUUCUGAGAGGAAGGCCCCCCACACUGGUACUGAGACACGGACCAGACUCCUACGGGAGGCAGCAG
RNAcentral lists this ribosomal RNA (277 nucleotides) under uncultured bacterium. Its description in RNAcentral is "partial 16S ribosomal RNA". It matches the Rfam family "Bacterial small subunit ribosomal RNA", at positions 82 to 354 of the family's 1533-position model. The record is from RNAcentral.